RNAcentral lists this ribosomal RNA (249 nucleotides) under uncultured bacterium. Its description in RNAcentral is "partial 16S ribosomal RNA". It matches the Rfam family "Bacterial small subunit ribosomal RNA", at positions 83 to 334 of the family's 1533-position model. The record is from RNAcentral.
AUUCACACACUAGUGGCAAACGGGUGAGUAACACGUAGAUAACCUGCCUCAAAGUUUGGAAUAAGCUCUCGAAAGGGAGUUUAAUACCAAAUGUGGUGGCGAAACUUAGGUUUCGCUAUUAAAGCUUUUGCGCUUUGAGAGGGGUCUGCGUCCUAUCAGCUUGUUGGCGGGGUAAAAGCCCACCAAGGCAAUGACGGGUAGCCGGCUCGAGAGGGUGUACGGCCACAAUGGAACUGAGACACGGUCCAU